Molecule: transfer RNA, 71 nt
Filed under: Mesocricetus auratus (golden hamster)
Lineage: Eukaryota; Metazoa; Chordata; Mammalia; Rodentia; Cricetidae
Rfam family: tRNA
About the family: Transfer RNA (tRNA) molecules are approximately 80 nucleotides in length. Their secondary structure includes four short double-helical elements and three loops (D, anti-codon, and T loops). Further hydrogen bonds mediate the characteristic L-shaped molecular structure. tRNAs have two regions of fundamental functional importance: the anti-codon, which is responsible for specific mRNA codon recognition, and the 3' end, to which the tRNAs corresponding amino acid is attached (by aminoacyl-tRNA synthetases). tRNAs cope with the degeneracy of the genetic code in two manners: having more than one tRNA (with a specific anti-codon) for a particular amino acid; and 'wobble' base-pairing, i.e. permitting non-standard base-pairing at the 3rd anti-codon position.
Source: Rfam by way of RNAcentral
ACAUUGGUGGUUCAGUGUUAGGAUUCUCUCCUGCCAUGUGGGAGGCCCAGGUUUGAUUCCUGGCCAAUGCA